Molecule: long non-coding RNA, 1235 nt
Filed under: Parus major (Great Tit)
Lineage: Eukaryota; Metazoa; Chordata; Aves; Passeriformes; Paridae
Description: lncRNA (ENSPMJG00000003958.1)
Source: RNAcentral
GGGUUUUUUUGGGGUUUCUUUGGGAUUUCUUUGGAAUUUUUUUGGGAUUUUUUUGGGAUUUUUUUUGAAUUAUUUUUAAAUUUUUUGGGGAUUUUUUGGGGGAUUUUUUGGGAUUUUUUGGGGAUUUUUUUGGGAUUUUUUUUAGAUUUCUUUGGGAUUUUUUGGGAUUUUUUUCAGGAUUUUUUGGAAUUUUUUUGGGGAUUUUUUGGGAUUUUUUGGGGUUUUUUGGGGAUUUUAUUUUGGAUUUUUUUGGGAUUUUUUGGGGGAUUUUUUGAGGAUUUUUUGGGAUUUCUUUGGGAUCUUUUUGGGAUUUUUUUUUUAUUUUUUUUGAAUUUUUGGGGGAUUUUUCGGGGAUUUUUUUGGGGAUUUUUUGAGGAUUUUUUGGGGAUUUUUUUGGGGAUUUUUUGGUGGAUUUUGGGGUGAGGAAAUGAGGAUUUUGGAGUGUGGGGGAGGGGCCAGGUGUGUCCAGGUGUGUCCCCAGGUGUGUCCAGGUGUCCCCAGGUGCGUUCCAGACCAGGUUCCAGAACGUUCUAGAGGUUCUAGACUCGGUUCUAGAUCGGGUUCUAGAUCGGGUUCUAGAACGUUCUAGGUACGUUCCAGAUCAGGUUCUAGAACGUUCUAGAUCGGGUUCUAGGUGUGCUCUAGGUACGUUCUAGAGGUUCUAGAUCACGUUCUAGAACGUUCUAGACUCGGUUCUAGACUCGGUUCUCGAUCGGGUUCCGGACUGUUCCAGAACCGGUUCCAGACUGGGUUCCAGAGCAGGUUCCAGACUGGGUCCCCAGGUGUGUCCAGGUGUGUCCCAGGUGUCCCCAGGUGUGUCCAGGUGUCCCCAGGUGUGUUCAGGUGUUCUCCAGGUGUGUUCAGGUGUGUCCAGGUGUUCUCCAGGUGUAUCUCAGGUGUAUUUUAGGUGUCCCCAGCUGUUCUAGGUGUAUCUCAGGUGUCCCCAGGUGUGUCCCCAGGUGUAUCUCAGGUGUAUCUCAGAUGUCCCCAGGUGUGUCCAGGUGUCCCCAGGUGUAUCUCAGGUGUCCCCAGGUGUAUCUCAGGUGUAUCCAGGUGUCCCCAGGUGUAUCUCAGGUGUGUCCCCAGCUGUCCCCAGGUGUCCCCAGGUGUCCCCAGGUGUCCCAGGUGUCCCCUGUCCCCGCAGGAAGAUCCAGGAGGAAUCUCUCCGCACGUACCUGUUCACCUACAGCAGCGUCUACGACUCCAUCAGGUGGAUUUGGGCUGAAAAACGGGGA